Molecule: long non-coding RNA, 231 nt
Filed under: Elaeis guineensis (African oil palm)
Lineage: Eukaryota; Viridiplantae; Streptophyta; Magnoliopsida; Arecales; Arecaceae
Description: long non-coding RNA (EGUI_LNC077930)
Source: RNAcentral
AUUUCUACAGUAACCUGACUCCACCCAUAUUUCUACGACGGUCGACCACCUCUUUGAUUUCAUCCGAGCUCCUACGGGAGCCGGACCUCUGCCCCGAAUUCCUAUUGCAGGUAGACUUCAUCCGAGCCCCUGCUACAAACGGUCUACUCCAAACUCCUACUACAAAUGGUCUACUCUGAGCUUCUAUUACAAACGACCUACUCCAAAUUUCUGCUACGAGCGGUCCACGUC